RNAcentral lists this ribosomal RNA (253 nucleotides) under uncultured bacterium. RNAcentral's name for it is "partial 16S ribosomal RNA". It matches the Rfam family "Bacterial small subunit ribosomal RNA", at positions 524 to 776 of the family's 1533-position model. The record is from RNAcentral.
UACAGAGGUCCCAAGCGUUGUUCGGAUUCACUGGGCGUAAAGGGUGCGUAGGUGGUUGGGUAAGUCUGAUGUGAAAUCUCCGGGCUCAACCCGGAAAUGGCAUUGGAUACUAUUCGGCUAGAGGUUUGGAGGGGGGACUGGAAUUCUCGGUGUAGCAGUGAAAUGCGUAGAUAUCAAGAGGAACACCAGUGGCGAAGGCGAGUCCCUGGACAACACCUGACACUGAGGCACGAAAGCUAGGGGAGCAAACAGG